UUGAAAAGAGAGUUAAAUAGUACGUGAAAUUGUUGAAAGGGAAGCACUUAUGACCAGACUUGGCCCCGGUGAAUCAUCCAGCGGUUCCCGCUGGUGCACUUUGCCGGGGUUCAGGCCAGCAUCAGCUCGCUCCGGGGGAUAAAGGCUUUGGGAAUGUGGCUCCCUCGGGAGUGUUAUAGCCCAUUGCGUAAUACCUUGUGGCGGGCUGAGGUUCGCGCUUUAUGCAAGGAUGCUGGCAUAAUGGUCAUCAGUGACCCGUCUUGAAACACGGACCAAGGAGUCGUCUUCGUAUGCGAGUGUUCGGGUGUUAAACCCCUACGCGUAAUGAAAGUGAACGCAGGUGAGAGCCCUCCAGGGCGCAUCAUCGACCGAUCCUGAUGUUCUCGGAUGGAUUUGAGUAAGAGCAUACGGGGCCGGACCCGAAAGAAGGUGAACUAUGCCUGUAUAGGGUGAAGCCAGAGGAAACUCUGGUGGAGGCUCGCAGCGGUUCUGACGUGCAAAUCGAUCGUCAAAUAUGGGCAUGGGGGCGAAAGACUAAUCGAACCUUCUAGUAGCUGGUUUCCGCCGAAGUUCCCCCUCAGGAUA
Molecule: ribosomal RNA, 585 nt
Filed under: Metarhizium sp.
Lineage: Eukaryota; Fungi; Ascomycota; Sordariomycetes; Hypocreales; Clavicipitaceae
Description: partial large subunit ribosomal RNA
Rfam family: Eukaryotic large subunit ribosomal RNA
Source: RNAcentral